AGUUUGGAUCAUGGCUCAGGACGAACGCUGGCGGCGUGCUUAACACAUGCAAGUCGAACGAUGAAGCCUUUCGGGGUGGAUUAGUGGCGAACGGGUGAGUAACACGUGGGCAAUCUGCCCUUCACUCUGGGACAAGCCCUGGAAACGGGGUCUAAUACCGGAUAACACUCUGUCCCGCAUGGGACGGGGUUAAAAGCUCCGGCGGUGAAGGAUGAGCCCGCGGCCUAUCAGCUUGUUGGUGGGGUGAUGGCCUACCAAGGCGACGACGGGUAGCCGGCCUGAGAGGGCGACCGGCCACACUGGGACUGAGACACGGCCCAGACUCCUACGGGAGGCAGCAGUGGGGAAUAUUGCACAAUGGGCGAAAGCCUGAUGCAGCGACGCCGCGUGAGGGAUGACGGCCUUCGGGUUGUAAACCUCUUUCAGCAG
Molecule: ribosomal RNA, 429 nt
Filed under: Kitasatospora cinereorecta
Lineage: Bacteria; Bacillati; Actinomycetota; Actinomycetes; Kitasatosporales; Streptomycetaceae
Description: bacterial SSU rRNA
Rfam family: Bacterial small subunit ribosomal RNA
Source: RNAcentral